This 1865-nucleotide unclassified non-coding RNA is filed under the name Hevea brasiliensis (rubber tree). Lineage: Eukaryota; Viridiplantae; Streptophyta; Magnoliopsida; Malpighiales; Euphorbiaceae. The record is from RNAcentral.
AGAGACAGAGAGAGAGAGAGAGAGUUGGUAUAAUCUGGGAUAUAGACGAUCUGGGAUUUGUCUUGUUUUUAGAGAAUUUGCAUCUCUAUAUAUUUUCUCGGGGGUUGUUCUUCAAUUUUUCCUUCAUUCUUCAUGCAAUUAUCUUACAGUAAGAAUCUUCUUGUCCAUCUCUGUUUACACUCAUAGAUCUUGAGGUUUACCUCAUAAUCCUUUCUGAAUUCAAUUUCUUUGACUCCCUUUUGUCAUUUCUACCAUUUUUUGAUGCAUCUUCUUUAAAAAUCCGUUUUCCUUAUCUUCUAUUUGGCCCCUUUUUAUGUAUAUAUACAUUUUUUUUUUCUGAUUUUUCACUUCUGGGUUUUUCUCUAUCAACUCGCUUCUCAAACUAAGAGUCACAAUCUCUUUCAUUUUCACUUCUGGGUCUUCCAAAUGGAACUCUUACAAGACCCAAUCCGAUGUGUUAAACCAGCCCCUUUAUCUGUUUCUCUCAUUUUUCACGGCUGAUAAAACGGGAUAUCUCUUUCUGUGAUUUUUACUUGUGGGUUUUCUUAAUCAAUAAUCAACUCUUCUUCUUCAUCGCUUUGCCUCAAUUUCCUGCUAGUUCUCGGAUUUCACUUUUGGGUUGGUUUUCACUGGUAUCUUUUUUGUGAUUGUAGGCAUGGACAAAGACGAGAAAAGCCAGAGAGCAAAUAAAGCAUUAGAGCCUGAUUUUUUCUUGCAGUGGGGGAAUAAAAAGAGGCUUAGAUGUGUGAGAGUAAGAGACCCUGAAAUUAUCUCACAGAGAUCCGAUGGUGUCUUUCGCAGGAAAAUCACAACUCGUAUUGAUAGACGCAUCGUCUCUUCUGCUACAGAGAAAGAAACGUCUCAUCCUCAAUCCAAUCGCCUUACCAGGUUAGAUUGGUGCUCGGUUUCUUUGCUUGCCUUCCGAGGAGAAAAAGGGCCAGUUCCUGACUCGGAAUAUGAGGCUUUGUUGAGAGUUGGUUUUUGUUUAGCCACUAUACUCUCGGACUCGUUAAUCUUCUCUUUUUCUCAGCAACCAAAUUGAGAAAUUUCUCUAAGAAAAUGAGGUUGGCAGAGGUUUCUUGUUUUUUUUCUGUUUGGUUGCUCGGGAAAUUAUAAAGAGAAAUUAAAGUUCAAUCUGUAUUAUUUAUGUUGUUUCAAUUCCCUAAUUCUGAUUUGUUUUCCUUUUCUCAGCAACCAAACAGACAGUUGAGAAUUUCCCCGAAUAUAAAAAGAGAAAAGGUCGGAACUUUCUUGCAACCUCCUGUUUGGUUGACGGGAAAAUGCAAGAAAUCAAGAAAAAUAUACAAAAUAAACUCUUUUAAAUGAUUUUGCAGCUUUCAGAUCCCAAGUUAUGAACAAUCUAUGGAUUAAAAUAAUGGUUAAAAUUGGAAAUUUCAACUUAUGCGGAUCUGUUUGGUACAGGAAUUCUGAGGCAGCAACACUCCGGUCUGGUACGACUGAGAACCGGAAAUCGGCGUCACCGGAGAAAGAAGACAGGUAUUACACGACAAGAGGGUCAAUGAGUGUGGACGAGAAUGGGAAGAUUUCAAUUGAUGGUAACAAUGGAGAGGAUAAAGGACACGUUUGGCCAAAGCUAUAUAUCACACUGUCAAGCAAAGAAAAAGAGGAGGAUUUUAUGGCUAUGAAAGGGUGUAAGCUUCCUCAACGGCCUAAGAAGAGAGCCAAGAUUAUCCAAAGAAGCUUACUUUUAGUGAGCCCUGGGGCUUGGUUGACUGAUAUGUGCCAAGAGAGGUAUGAAGUGAGGGAGAAGAAGAGCACUAAGAAGAGACCGAGAGGACUGAAGGCCAUGGGAAGCAUGGAGAGUGACUCAGAAUGAGAGAUUGUGAAAUUGAAGCAGCUGAGAC